This 767-nucleotide long non-coding RNA is filed under the name Panax ginseng (ginseng). RNAcentral's name for it is "long non-coding RNA (PGIN_LNC016466)". Lineage: Eukaryota; Viridiplantae; Streptophyta; Magnoliopsida; Apiales; Araliaceae. The record is from RNAcentral.
CAUAAUUAGCAACCAAAUCAUUAAGUACAGGACCUAGCUAGGGAAUUAAUUAUUUGAUUUCUACAUUCAUUAGGUUAGAUUACAAAGACUUGAUGACGAACAAGCGAGAAGAACUUGAGAGCAACAUAACAUUUCCCAACUCACGCUUUAUAUAUUAGAGUAGACCACUCGAAUUCGAAUUGGCAACGUAUUCUUAUCAAACGUAUUCUUAUCAAAAGUACAUACUUAGAUAAUGUGGCUAGCUAGAUCUUGUCUCGAUCAUACCUGACUGAAUCACAUAUAUAUUAGUUACCAUAUUAAUAUUAAUAGUACAUGGAAAAUUCAAAAUUUAUAACCAGCCAGUAUCCUGUUUCUCCUGUCGUCCUUUCACGUGGCGAAACAUCCGAGGUGGCAAGAAUAAACAGGUUCAAGCGUUAGGUCGAGCUCGUUCCUCCUGAUCCCUUCUCCUUGGUAAGUAGUGCCAAUGCACCAUAUAUAACAAACUAUCAACCUAAACGUACGUUCAGCCGAAUAACUAUCCAGUACCUUAAUUAAUUAGUCCCGAGUUAACCAUAAAAUGGAAACUGUGAUGUAAAUUUCUCUCUGUAUCUUUUUCCAUGAUUUAGAUUUAUAGGUAUAGGUAUAAUUUAUUACAAUUAGAGUUUGAAGAGAACAAUGAUUACCCAAUAUUUAGACAGGGAAGUGUCUGAUCAGGUAAGAGGAAGGAUGGCAUAUAAGGGCCAGCUGGGUUUUGGUGCUCCCACUGAGCCUGUUGUGCCUUUGUCUUC